UACGUAGGGCGCAAGCGUUGUCCGGAAUUAUUGGGCGUAAAGAGCUCGUAGGCGGUUUGUUACGUCUGCUGUGAAAGUUCAGGGCUCAACCCUGAAAUGCCGGUGGAAACUGUCGAGCUAGAGUACGGAAGAGGUGAGUGGAAUUCCUGGUGUAGCGGUGAAAUGCGCAGAUAUCAGGAGGAACACCGGUGGCGAAGGCGGGUCUCUGGGCCGAUACUGACACUGAGGAGCGAAAGCGUGGGGAGCGAACAGG
This 253-nucleotide ribosomal RNA is filed under the name uncultured bacterium. Its description in RNAcentral is "partial 16S ribosomal RNA". It matches the Rfam family "Bacterial small subunit ribosomal RNA", at positions 524 to 776 of the family's 1533-position model. The record is from RNAcentral.